Molecule: long non-coding RNA, 2350 nt
Organism: Uranotaenia lowii
Lineage: Eukaryota; Metazoa; Arthropoda; Insecta; Diptera; Culicidae
Exons: 4
Source: RefSeq, a predicted model, not a curated record
AGUCCAUUCAAGGUUUCAAGUACCAUGAUUCGCAUAGUUUCAACCAUACAAUUCAUGAUUGCGUGAAAAUGAAAUUCAUGGUCUUUUCACAAUGUUUUUCUAUUCGGGUAGUGUUGCACUGGUGCACCACUAGGUGCUGUCAAACUGUUUGUUUAUUCGGACGGUGUUGCACUGGUUUUGACCUGUCGGAGUUCUGCUUACGGACGGUGGCCCACCGAUAAUUUUGCCAGUGUUGCGAGAGAGCGUGUGAGUGAGUGAGAUAGCAAUACACUGGCGACGAUUUGUGUUUGUUUUUAUCGGAUACGGUGGAACACUCCACGAGUGGAGAAAACAAAUACGGUAUUAAAAUUUACUUGUAACUGCACAUUAACAGUAAUAGUUGUAGAACGAUUCGAAAUGACCCCGGAUCGGAAGGAAUAUCGCAACCGGACCGAUUACUGUCAAACCAUUAGUUGUCAGUUUGAAUCUAUCCGGUUUCCCUUCGAAAUCUGUUGGUUUUCCUGACAAUUUCUCCGCUGCCAUACAAUGACAGAUAUCGAAAUCGAUCAGUUUGAUUCGGUUCGGAUUUGCGUCGAGUUCUGUCAGUUUUGUUUGAAGGGCCUGUCAUUCGAAAACGAUCGAUUUUGUUUUUGCAUCGCAGCAACGGUUUUCGCAAUAUUUUUUUCUGUCGUCGGUUCGAUUGCGAGUUCCUACGCCAUAUAGAAAGAUUCUACCGCGAAACAACGAACGCAAAGGGCAGCCCGGUAAAUCCAGUCGGGAACAGCAGACCGGAUGUGUUCAACAGAUACCAGCGGUUCCAGGGACUUAACCUUGGAACGCUUCGUAAGAUUAGUAUUGUCAGUGACGAUGGUAAUAAUCCGGUGGUUUGAUCACCAAGGCCCGCCAAUCACCAUUCCUGCAACAUUUGUUACAUUAGAAUUCUAAUCAAAUCUAAUUGCUACCGUUUGACGAAGUUCCGACAACAACAGUACCUGGGCGUCUAUCUCAAUGUCAGCAAAGCCGGGGAAUCCCUGCUGCAUUAUUCGAAGCGGGAACGGGAAACCUAACAGAAUGCCGUUGCGUUGGACCCCCAUAGAAAAUUCGUACCCAAAAGAAAGAAGCUCCUUAGAAACUUCAGCGAUUCCAAAAGAAGAGGCAUCAUCCGAAUCCAGUUCGGAGAAUGAAGAUGAAGCUUCUGCCCCGGUGAGGAAACCGAACAGACAUCAGAACAGAUCCGAACAGACGUCAACAGUUGGUUCGCAAAUUGAACCAGGAAUCCUACAUCGAUCAUGGGAAACUUAGAAUCGUUCCUAUCAGGUGGCAGUGAUCAACGAUCAGAGUAUAAUCCGCCGAAAGGUUCCUACCAGCCGUCAUCCGAGCUCCGAAGGGCAGUCAGCGGAAGCAAGGUUUGAGCAAGAAAACGGAUUCUUACGAACAGCAGAAGUUGACAAGCUGUUGACAAAGCUGCACUAACCCUAAAUAUGACCGGGAAAUGAAAUACGAUUGUUUUCGAUGAUGGUGAAGAAGGGAUGGUCAAAAACCUAAACGAAUCAAAUCGAAAGACGAAGUCGAUGCAACUUAUUAACGCUGAGCAACUGAAGGGCAUGGAAGCUGCACUGAAAGGAGUUAGUUUUGCAUCUCAAUGAUUCCGAACAAACAAAAGACGAUCGGCCGAGGAACACAUCAGUACCGAAGUUUUUUGUACCCUAGACGACGCAAAGCGCAUCACUGGAGCUACGGAACAGCUACGAAACAAUGGCUACGGAAUCGGGUGGCGAGGGAGACGGAUUACGACGAGGAGCGGGAUGCUGCCUAUGAGAACAACGACAGCGUAAAUCAUCAGUUUUAUCAAAUAGUUUCUAUUAUCAGUGGAAUCCUCAUCAAUCAAAAUACAGAACAAUUUACGAUUAAUCUGUGGAAAAGAAGGAUCAUGAAAAAUCUUCGCCAGAGCAGUAACAUAACAUGGUGGAGGAUCUCAGCAGUCCAGUCAAAUCGGAACUGAAGAUUAUCUCUCAUGAUAACAACAUGGUCACUUUAUUUCACACCGUAGUUUAUAUCGCCGUCAACAAAACUCCAACAAUCCCACACUGCUGAAAAAGAUCCUUCGCAUACCGAUACACAAAUUGACAGCUCACUCGCAAAAACUUAUCGUCGUCAGGAAAGUUGUUUCACCAGGGCACUGAAUUCGUCGGAAAUCGGUUGGAUUUCUCGUCAGAAUUCUAACCGAUUCACGGGUUGAACGGUCCGAAAUCCUACCGAUUUUGGGCCGAUUUUUCGAUCCGGGACGUUCUUCAACGUUAUGCGUACCGUAAUCUGAAUAGUAAGGGAAAGUAGCACGCACACACACACAAAAGAAAAUUUUCUUAAAAAA